Molecule: ribosomal RNA, 433 nt
Filed under: uncultured bacterium
Lineage: Bacteria
Description: partial 16S ribosomal RNA
Rfam family: Bacterial small subunit ribosomal RNA
Source: RNAcentral
AACGAACGCUGGCGGCAUGCCUAACACAUGCAAGUCGAACGAGACCUUCGGGUCUAGUGGCGCACGGGUGCGUAACGCGUGGGAACCUGCCCUUAGGUUCGGAAUAACUCCCCGAAAGGGGUGCUAAUACCGGAUAAUGUCUUCGGACCAAAGAUUGAUCGCCUUUGGAUGGGCCCGCGUUGGAUUAGCUAGUUGGUAGGGUAAAAGCCUACCAAGGCGACGAUCCAUAGCUGGUCUGAGAGGAUGAUCAGCCACACUGGGACUGAGACACGGCCCAGACUCCUACGGGAGGCAGCAGUGGGGAAUAUUGGACAAUGGGCGAAAGCCUGAUCCAGCAAUGCCGCGUGAGUGAUGAAGGCCUUAGGGUUGUAAAGCUCUUUUACCCGGGAUGAUAAUGACAGUACCGGGAGAAUAAGCUCCGGCUAACUCCGUG